AUAUGAUGGAUAAAAUAAUUAUUAAAACACUCGCCUUCGAAGAAACUUGGAAUUUUAUCAGUACCGAACUGGUAGAACGCAAUUUUUCUAAGGCGGAAUUAUACAUUCGAUAUCACGUGUCCAAAGAUGGUUGGCUAGGAGCGCUGGAUGAGCACAACAAUGUAAUCGAUUCGGAGAAGGCUUGUAUUGGUUGGUAUUAUGUAAAAAAUCAAUAUCGAGGCAAAGGUUUUGGGAGACUCAUGUACAAUAAAAUGAUGGGUUAUUUGGGAAACAGAAUUAUUAGCUUAAACGCUUCGCCAAAAAUGUUGAAUAAUUACCUGCAGAACGGUAUGACGGGACCUUAUUUUAGAGUAUCAGUAUAUCAGACUAAAAAAAAGCUAAAUAGUCUUUUGAAGACUUUUCUAACGAAUCCACCAUUUUCUAAGUCCCUUUUAACAGAAUAUAAAAUAAUAUCCGCCCGCGACGUAGCGUUUUACGCCCUUUGCGAAUAUGAUACUCAAGUCCACGGAAACGUAGCCAGAGAAACAUAUUUGCGAGACACGAUUGAUGCAGAAAUUUGUGAAGGUAAAAGUUAUGAAAAGGACACUUACGUAUGUUUACGAAACAAAUUCAAUAAAGGCGUAGAAUCGACACCGUCAAAUUAUUCUGAUUACGAGAUAGUCGGAUAUGGCGUAUUAAUUCGUAAACAUUACGGUUUUUCCAUUGCCCCCUAUACGCUGAUACACCGGAAAUAGCUCUUGCCUUGACUUGGAAAUUGCUUUAUCAAUUAUAUUUAAAAUCCAAUCCCACAGAUAACCCAAAUUUAAGUGUAUCCGAAAUUAUUGAAUUUACCCAGGAGGUUAAAUAUGAUUUGAGUCUACAGCAUGGUGAGGACCCUGAUUCUGAAUUCAUGAUAACUUUUUGCGAAGAGUUUGCAGACUAUGAAAAUAUUGAAUGUUUAAAAGUCAGGAAAGAUAUUGAACUCAAUAAUGAAUACUUGAACUUUACCAGUGCGUAUAGAAACAUUAUGUUAAAAAAUUUUAACAUGGAAAAGAAAUUGGAAUAUUAUAGAUUAUACGACAAGCGAUACUUAAGAUUACCAUUAAAUAAAGUAUAUUCGAUAGUAAAUGCAGAUGCUUUUCUAUUAUAAUGUGAUAGCAAAACUAUAAUAAAAAAAAUUUAAUAUCUAUUUCUAGAUUAUAUAUUAUCUAAUAAUGGAUUAAUAUCUCUAACUUGUCUUACCUUUUUCUUGUUAAUCUAUUUAUGGACCCAAUAAAAUAAGAUGAUUAUCUUAAACUACCAGCCCUCUGCCGAGGAGAGUGUAGCGUGGUAAUCAUCAAUAGCACGGAAUCAAAGAUAGCCAUGAAUCACAAAGCAUGGGAUAUCAAAGUUUUAUAUAAAAAAAAAAAAUUUAAAUUUAAAAAAAUUUAAUGUAUCGGCCAUAAGAUAAAUGAAUGUUAUUAUCAAUAGCUUAUUUAUUUAGCAGGAACAAUGAUAGGAUAAAAAUCAAAGGAAUAUUUACUAAUAUUAUUCAGAAGAGUAAGUAUAUUGAGGAUAAAGACGAAUGUUUGUUCGGGUAACCAAUCCUCAAGUUAUUUAUUUUUUUAAAAGGUAGGAAGAUAUAUUUAUGAAUUAGAUAUAUAUAUAAUAUUAUUAAAAUUAAUAAAUAUAUCAUACCACACGUAUCGUUCUUUUGUGAUUUGUGCAAAAUUUAGAAAUAAAUGGGAAUAUUGUGCCUGAGAUUACCAAUAUAGGUAAAAAGGUAGGAUCCCUUAAGAAAGGACAUAUAUAAUUUUAAAUUAAAUAAUAUAAAUAAUCAUACCAUGUAUUUAUGAAUUUUACCGAAAUAAUCAGCAUGAAUAAAAUUAAAUAUUAUUACUGAGAGACCAAUUUUAACAAAAAAAAAAAUAGGAUCCCUUGUGAAUAGAUAUAGAAUAAUAUUUAAAUAUUUAACAAAAUAUAUAGUAUAACAACCAUGUAUUAAAUGUAAAUAUCCUAUUUAAAUAGUAAAAAAUAGAAAAAAACCCCAUAAUCGUUUUUUUUUAAAAUAUGUUACAAAAUUUUCUUAUGUUGUUAGCUACCGUGCUUAGAGAUCUACAAAUAGGCCCGGCCCGAACCCAGCCCGGCCCAAACGGGCUUAGGGCCGGGCUAAAAUAUAUCUAAAUUUAUCAAUUUUAUAUUGAAGUAUUUAUGUAAAAUAAAAACACUCGAUUUUAUUUAUAGAAAUUAUGCCAUUAAACAUAUGCCCUUUUAUUCUGAGUAAUUAUAAAAAUUAAUUUCUAUAUUUAAAUAAAUUCGGGCCGGGUUGGGAGGGCAAAACUUUUUUAAAAAAAUUUCGAGUUCGGGCCGGGCCGGCAAAAUAUUUUUAAAUAAUUUCCGGCCGGACCGGUUUUCUCCCCUGUAACAAUCCCCCCCCCCCCAACUGUUGUAUUUAUUUUUGACGGUGGAUGCUCUCUACUUUAAACUGCGUUUAUAAUUUAAUACCCCUUUAAUUGAAUUUUCUUUGAUCUUGCGGAAACGUGCGAAAUGAAGAUUUUCAUCCACGUCGAUCUUAUAUUCAAACGAAUUUAUUUCCUUACGACAACAUCCUCGGUUGUCCAAAUUUUUGGUAUUAAAAAAUGUUGAAAGUUUAUGGAAACAUACAUUUAUUUUUAAAAAUGUUUACCCAAAUAAUUUUAAAUAACUAAUAAAAGUUGGAAAAAUUUUAACCUUCCCACCCUCCCAUGCCAGCCCGUGUCCGUUCGCCCACUUUGCUGGGAACCUUGGGCUGACUAAAACCCAGCCCGCUGCAGACCCCUAAUUUAGAUUAGGGUUAAUAUAAUAUUAAAUAACAAUGGCUUAAUAGCUACCUACUUAUCUAAAAGUGAUUAAUUUCUUUUUACCUAUUAUAGCCAUUAUUUAUUAUACAAAUUUCGUAACACGCACCUUAUUAUUUAUAUAAUAAAUAUUUAAAUCAAUUUAAUUUAUUUACAUUUAUUUUAAAAUUUCAAUUUUCAUGGUUAAAAUAAUUAUUAAAAAACUGGCUUUCGAAGAAAUUUGGAAUUUUAUUAGUACUGAACUCGUAGAACGCAAUUUUUCUAAGGCGGAAUUAUACAUUCGAUAUCACGUAUCCAAAGAUGGUUGGCUAGGAGCACUGGAUGAGCACAACAAUUGAUAUAUUGUAAACAAUUUUUGGAAGAGAGGGAGAUGGAUUAGGAGAAAGAAUUUUAUUGGCUUGAAAUUGAUAAUUACUAGAUUAGGCAAAUUUCAGAAGGGAUGAUAAGUGAAUAUCAUGGUCUUAUAUAUAAUUUAACUCUAAAUUCGGAGAAGGCUUGUAUUGGUUGGUAUUAUGUAAAGAAAGAAUAUCGAGGCAAAGGUUUGGGGAUAAUCAUGUACAAUAAAAUGAUGGGCUAUUUGGAAAACAGAAUGAUUAGCUUAAACAUUUCGCCAAGUAUGUUAAAUACUUACCUGCAGAACGGUAUGACGGGACCUUAUUUUUAAGGUAAUAUUUAACAUCCAUGUUUUUUUUCAAAAAAAAAUUUAAUUCAUUACAAAAAAUAAUAAUUUUAGUAUCAAUAUAUAAGACUGAUCAGACUAAAAAAAUGCUAAAUAGUCUUUUGAAGUCUUUUCUAACGAAUCCACAAUUUUCUAAGUCUCUUCCACCAGAAUACAAAAUUAUGUCCGCCCGCGACAUAGUGUUUUGCGUCCUUUGCGAAUAUGAUAUUCAUGUUCACGGAAAUGUGGCCAGAGAAUAUUUGCGUGACACGAUUGGUGUAAUAAUUUGUGAAGGUGAAAGUUAUGAAAACGAUGCUUACGUAUGUUUACGAAACAAAUUCAAUAAGGAUCGUUGUCAUCAAAUUAUUCUGAUUAUGAGAUAGUCGGAUAUGGCGUAUUAAUUCGUAAACAUUACGGUUUUUCAAUUGCCCCCCUAUACGCUGAUACACCGGAAAUAGCUUUUGCCUUAACUUGGAAAUUGCUUUAUCAAUUAUAUUUAAAAUACAAUCCUAAAAAUAACCCAAAUUUAAGUGUAUCCGAAAUUAUCGAAUCUACACAAGAAGUUAAAUUUUGAUCAACAGUGUGGUGAGGACCCUACUGGAUUUAUGAUAACUUUUUGCGAAGAGUUUGCAGACUAUGAAAAUAUUGAAUGUUUAAAAGUCAGGAAAGAUAUUGUACUCAAUAAUAAAUACCUGAACUUUACCAGUGCGUGUAGAAACAUUAUGUUAAAAAAUUUUUAAAUGGAAAAGAAAAUGGAAUCUUAUAGACUAUACGACAAACAAUACAUAAGAUUACCAUUAAAUAAAGUAUAUUCAACUGUAAAUACAGAUGCUUUUCUAAUAUAAGGUGUAAACUAAAAUAGGAAUUCAAUAUCUAGAUUAUAUACUAUCAUCAAUAAUAUCUUUAUCUUAUUUUUUCUUGUUAAUCUAUUUAUGGACCCAAUAAAAUAAGAUAAAUUUUAAUAGCAUGAUUAAAUAUGGACAAGAAAUCAUAAAA
Gordionus sp. m RMFG-2023 is the source of this 4449-nucleotide RNA transcript. RefSeq lists it as uncharacterized. The transcript is spliced from 5 exons. The record is from RefSeq and is a predicted model, not a curated record. Lineage: Eukaryota; Metazoa; Nematomorpha; Gordioida; Chordodea; Parachordodidae.